GAUGAACGCUGGCGGCGUGCUUAACACAUGCAAGUCGAACGAUGAAGCCCAGCUUGCUGGGUGGAUUAGUGGCGAACGGGUGAGUAACACGUGAGUAACCUGCCCUUAACUCUGGGAUAAGCCUGGGAAACUGGGUCUAAUACCGGAUAGGAGCGUCCACCGCAUGGUGGGUGUUGGAAAGAUUUAUCGGUUUUGGAUGGACUCGCGGCCUAUCAGCUUGUUGGUGAGGUAAUGGCUCACCAAGGCGACGACGGGUAGCCGGCCUGAGAGGGUGACCGGCCACACUGGGACUGAGACACGGCACAGACUCCUACGGGAGGCAGCGGUGGGGAAUAUUGCACAAUGGGCGCAAGCCUGAUGCAGCGACGCCGCGUGAGGGAUGACGGCCUUCGGGUUGUAACCCUCUUUCAGUAGGGAAGAAGCGAAAGUGACGGUACCUGCAGAAGAAGCACCGGCUAACUACGUG
Molecule: ribosomal RNA, 466 nt
Filed under: uncultured bacterium
Lineage: Bacteria
Description: partial 16S ribosomal RNA
Rfam family: Bacterial small subunit ribosomal RNA
Source: RNAcentral